AGCGAAAGGUGCUUGCACCUUUCAAGUGAGUGGCGAACGGGUGAGUAACACGUGGACAACCUGCCUCAAGGCUGGGGAUAACAUUUGGAAACAGAUGCUAAUACCGAAUAAAACUCAGUGUCGCAUGACACAAAGUUAAAAGGCGCUUUGGCGUCACCUAGAGAUGGAUCCGCGGUGCAUUAGUUAGUUGGUGGGGUAAAGGCCUACCAAGACAAUGAUGCAUAGCCGAGUUGAGAGACUGAUCGGCCACAUUGGGACUGAGACACGGCCCAAACUCCUACGGGAGGCUGCAGUAGGGAAUCUUCCACAAUGGGCGAAAGCCUGAUGGAGCAACGCCGCGUGUGUGAUGAAGGCUUUCGGGUCGUAAAGCACUGUUGUAUGGGAAGAACAGCUAGAAUAGGGAAUGAUUUUAGUUUGACGGUACCAUACCAGAAAGGGACGGCUAAAUACGUGCCAGCAGCCGCGGUAAUACGUAUGUCCCGAGCGUUAUCCGGAUUUAUUGGGCGUAAAGCGAGCGCAGACGGUUGAUUAAGUCUGAUGUGAAAGCCCGGAGCUCAACUCCGGAAUGGCAUUGGAAACUGGUUAACUUGAGUGCAGUAGAGGUAAGUGGAACUCCAUGUGUAGCGGUGGAAUGCGUAGAUAUAUGGAAGAACACCAGUGGCGAAGGCGGCUUACUGGACUGUAACUGACGUUGAGGCUCGAAAGUGUGGGUAGCAAACAGGAUUAGAUACCCUGGUAGUCCACACCGUAAACGAUGAACACUAGGUGUUAGGAGGUUUCCGCCUCUUAGUGCCGAAGCUAACGCAUUAAGUGUUCCGCCUGGGGAGUACGACC
RNAcentral lists this ribosomal RNA (834 nucleotides) under Leuconostoc sp. BGM13. RNAcentral describes it as "bacterial SSU rRNA". It matches the Rfam family "Bacterial small subunit ribosomal RNA", at positions 68 to 887 of the family's 1533-position model. Lineage: Bacteria; Bacillati; Bacillota; Bacilli; Lactobacillales; Lactobacillaceae. The record is from RNAcentral.